RNAcentral lists this ribosomal RNA (492 nucleotides) under uncultured bacterium. RNAcentral describes it as "partial 16S ribosomal RNA". It matches the Rfam family "Bacterial small subunit ribosomal RNA", at positions 29 to 507 of the family's 1533-position model. The record is from RNAcentral.
AGUGAACGCUGGCGGUAGGCCUAACACAUGCAAGUCGAACGGCAGCACAGUAAGAGCUUGCUCUUACGGGUGGCGAGUGGCGGACGGGUGAGGAAUACAUCGGAAUCUACUUUUUCGUGGGGGAUAACGUAGGGAAACUUACGCUAAUACCGCAUACGACCUACGGGUGAAAGCAGGGGAUCUUCGGACCUUGCGCGAUUGAAUGAGCCGAUGUCGGAUUAGCUAGUUGGCGGGGUAAAGGCCCACCAAGGCGACGAUCCGUAGCUGGUCUGAGAGGAUGAUCAGCCACACUAGAACUGAGACACGGUCCCGACUCCUACGGGAGGCAGCAGUGGGGAAUAUUGGACAAUGGGCGCAAGCCUGAUCCAGCCAUACCGCGUGGGUGAAGAAGGCCUUCGGGUUGUAAAGCCCUUUUGUUGGGAAAGAAAAGCAGCAGGUUAAUACCCCGCUGUUCUGACGGUACCCAAAGAAUAAGCACCGGCUAACUUCGUG